UCGUCAGCAGUCAGUCGUCUACGUAAACGCGUCGCGACGCCCCACGCCGCCGCCCCCCCCUCCCCUCGCGUUCAAAGGCUGCCAUGGCAGUCGCAGCAGUGCCGCCCCACAUGUAAUGUAUUCGUUGCAACACGGUGUGAACCUUUCCAGACGGGCUUGUAGGCACCUGCACCCCCUCCUCGUUUAUUGCGCGUUAGUGCUGGUGGUGGCGGUGGGGACCCACGUGGUACCGCCCGAUCAUGCCUCGGACUCCUCGCAGGUGCUCAAACCGCCCCCGGACACCAGGGGCGCCUACGAGCGCGCCUACGACAUCAACAGUUUGGCCAGGGGUAACUUGAUCCCUACACCACCACUACCACCACCACCACGGCCUACUGUUAAUCGGGUGAAUGAGGUGCCUACGGUGGAACCGACGCGGUUCCCGGAGGUGCUCGGAGGUGCCGGUGAGGUGCAGAAGGAGGAGAAGAAGGUGGAGAGGUACCCGGUGAUCUCGGUGUCGUUUCAUCGCGUAGAGACGCCGUUCAUCAUCGGGUUGUGGAUCUUCUGUGCCAGUUUGGCGAAGAUCGGGUUCCACAUGGCUCCGAAGCUGAGCGCGAUGUUUCCCGAGUCCUGUCUCCUGAUCUUCGUGGGCGUGGCCAUAGGCGUGGUCCUGGUGCACAUCACUGACUCUGUGCACAUGUCUCCACUAACCCCGGACACCUUUUUCCUCUAUAUGUUGCCUCCGAUCAUCCUGGACGCUGGAUACUUCAUGCCCAACCGAUUGUUCUUCGACCAUCUUGGUACCAUCCUACUCUUCGCUGUUAUCGGGACUAUUUCCAACACGUUACUCAUAGGCGCCUCCCUGUGGGCUGUAGGCCUGACCGGGCUGUUCUCCUGCGACACGCCCCUCCUCGACAUGUUCCUGUUCGGCUCCCUGAUAUCAGCCGUAGACCCGGUCGCCGUCCUCGCCGUAUUCGAGGAGAUCCAGGUGAACGAGAUCCUGUACAUCGUCGUCUUCGGGGAAUCCCUGCUGAACGACGCGGUCACGGUCGUCCUGUAUCACCUGUUCGAGUCGUACACCGAGAUGGGCCUGCGCAACAUCGUGCCGUACGACCUCGUGUCCGGCUUCCUGAACUUCCUGGUGGUCGCCAUCGGCGGCACCGUCAUCGGGGUGAUCUGGGGCUUCGCCACCGCCCUCGUGACCCGUUUCACCAACGAAGUGCGCGUGAUCGAACCGAUCUUCAUCUUCGUCAUGGCCUACUUGGCUUAUUUGAACGCCGAGGUGUUUCACAUGUCCGGCAUUUUGGCGAUCACCUUCUGCGGCAUCACGAUGAAGAACUACGUGGAGUCGAACAUCUCGCACAAGUCGCACACGACGAUAAAAUACGCGAUGAAGAUGCUGAGCAGCUCCUCGGAAACGAUCAUCUUCAUGUUCCUGGGCGUGGCGACGGUCAACAAGAACCACGACUGGAACACCUGGUUCGUCCUGUUGACCAUCCUGUUCUGCUCCCUGUACAGGGUCAUCGGUGUGAUAGUCUUGACGGCCAUCGCGAACCGGUUCCGCCUCCAUCAGCUGAGCAAAGUGGAGAAGUUCGUGAUGUCUUACGGGGGUUUGAGGGGCGCGGUCGCUUUCGCCCUCGUGCUCCUCAUCGACCCGAAAAUUGUCCCGCUACAGCCGAUGUUCAUGACCACCACCAUCGCCGUCGUCUACUUCACCGUGUUCUUUCAAGGAAUCACCAUUAAGCCCCUGGUGAAGAUCCUGAACGUCAAAACAGCGGAGAAGCGCAAGCCCACCAUGAACGAGAGGAUACACGAGAGAUUGAUGGACCACGCUAUGGCCGCCAUAGAGGACAUCGUGGGCCAACACGGCAACUACCACAUCCGCGACAGGUUUAAACGGUUCGACAACAAAUUCAUCAGGCCGUACCUGCUGCGCAACCACCAGGGCGCAGAGCCGAAGAUCCUCGAAACGUACUCGAAGUUGGCGAUGCGCGACGCGAUGGAGUACAUGCGCCGUAACGCGUCGACGAUAGGCAACAUCUCGAACACGGAGAGCAUGUCCGCCAUCUUUCGGAACUACACGCCGACGGGUAACCUUAACGGAAGGUGCGCCCAAAAAUUGUUAAACUGCUCGAGCCUGAGCCAAAUCGACUCGAGCACUUGGAACAUCGACAUGCAGGAGCUGGAUUAUAACCCCUCGAAGAAAGACUUGACGGAUGCCAAGAUCCAUCAUUUGUUGGCGGAGGAGCUGGUCAAGCCUUACAGAAGAGUCAGUCACAGGAGGUUAAGCUACAGCAGACACGCGGUGAACGACCGUGACCUCUCGACCCAAGUCAAUUAUCGGAUGCACGUGAACAUGCGCAGACUGGUGGCGGACAAGAAGCACCACCACAGCCACAAGAGGCACAGCAAGAAGCUGAAUAAGAAUCAGAAAAAUUCCCUUCAGAUCCCCGGGAGGACCUCGCGCAGGCGCAGCUCCAGCGGGAUUUACAAGAGCGGCAAGGAGAACCACGUGAGUUUCCCGGAGUUCCAGCAGAACGGCACUGCCAAGCAAUUUUCACACGACUACAUAAGCGAGGUGCUGAACGAGGACGCAGACAUAACCGAGCCGAGAUCCAACAGGGAGGAGUGGGACAGCCCUAUCACCUUCACAGCGAAAUCAUCACCGAGCACAGGGGCGGAGGAGGAGGAGGAGGAGGUGCAGGAGAAUUCGCCCCUCCCGAAAACGAAACCCUCGGCCCUGGAGUGCACGCUGCCCUGGCGCAGGGAGCGAAACGUUACCGAUGACAGUAUCUUCUCUGAUACUGGAAAACGCUUGUCCAGAGGCUCCAUUGACGGAGGCGACUUGAUGAGGGUGUCAACCCCCACCGCUACGGAAAUGAUGUUGCCAUGGAAAAGGGAGGAGGAGGAGGGGUGCGGGCCGCUUCCACAAGCGGAGUUUCCUAGUUGGGCCUCCAAUAAGGAGUACUUGGCCUACAAUUCACCCUCUGCCACGUUUUUAGGUGGCCUGGAAAACCCCAACAAAAACUCGAUCUUCGGCCUGUUUAGGCGUGAGUCACUGGGCUCCGACCCGACCAACAGUAACGAGUCGACGCCCCUCCGUGAGCGAAGGGGCUCGGUGAGUCGCACCUCCACGAUCCUCGUGGAGGAGGGCGAGUGCGACCCUUUGGGGGUGAUCCAGAGGGAGACGGUAGCCCCGCCGCCAGUGCUGCCCCCACCGCCUCAAACCCCCGGCCAGAGGAGGCACCAUCAGCCUCGCAGGGGGUCCAUGCUCGAGCUAAGCGGCUCACUUCAACGCGACUCCAUCCCAGAGGAGCGGAACCCGCCCCACCAGACCUCCUCACUUAAACGCCCCACGUGGCUCCUGCAACAGCAACAGCCCCCGGGGGGCAGGAGGGCGAGUUUCUCGCGCCAGAACACCUUAGGGGCCGCCCUGAUGGACACCGUCUCCUCACCCUCCUCCGGCACCUCCACCUCCUCAGACGAAGACGAGGAGCUGCUGAUGAAGGGGGCGCCCUUCUGAUCGAAGGGGCCCCCCUUGAGAGGGCGGGGGCCCAUCUCGAAGAGUCUCAGCCCGAUUUUCGGGGGGUUCCAGUCGAAGUAUCAGGCGCUGGGCAAGAAGUUCGGUCGCGAUCUGGUUUAGGGGGUCAACCGGCGCCGGUUUUACGUUCGUUUGAAUCGGUUUUAGGGCUCUAUAGGCAACCCUCUCUGGUAACCUAGUAGGGGCCCACUCGAUUACGCAUGCGUAACGAACGGCUAGCGUUGUCAUAUCAGGAAGCGUAGCAACGCGGGGCAAGACGUUUGGUCGUUUGUAGGUUCUUUAAUUUUACUUUUUAGUAAGGUCUCUGUAUUACCGACCGGAAAUUAUCAUCUGAUUGGACAACCACUAGAGAGAUAUCACACUUGUGCGUUGCGCAUGCGUUUGAAUUUACAGAUUCGGACUUGACAGCUGUUACGUCAAACGUCUGUCACCCUUGAUAAGUUUGUUAAAUUUUUUAAUGACAUUCUGAUGAAUAUCUAGUGUAUAUUAGUGCGCACGUACUGAGAUUGCGCACACAAAAAAUGUUGAAAGAAAUCUGGUAUUUAUUAAGCAACAGUGUCGGUAAUUGACAGCUUUGAUAAGUACGUCUUACGUCAGUUAUGUCAAACACAAGAAUUAAGUUAAAUAAAUUAUGUGUCGUUGGUGUAUGUCAAAAUUUGACAGAACUUUCAAGAGCAGUUGACGUUGCGCAUGCGUUCCAAUUUAUAGAUCCGGACAUGACAUCGGUGACGUCAAACGAUCUGUCAUUUUUGAGAAGCUCUUAAAUUUCUUGCCUGACAUGACAGGUGACAUUUGACAGACAGUUCAAUCAAUCUUCUCGUUCUGAGACUACGUACACAAGCAGUUUGGAAAAUAUUUGGUUUUUGUUAAGCAAUAGUUAAACAGUUGUGUGCUCUUAGUAUAAUAUGUCAAAACUUGUCAGCUUUGACAGGCGUGUUAAGGGUCAAUUGACGUCCUGGAACCCAUUUAACGUAUCUUUUAAACACAAGAAUUAAAUCAAAGAGAUUGUGUUUCAUUGGUUUACGUCAAAAUUUGACAGAUUUUACAGAAAUCUCAAGAAAAAAUUAGGUUGCGCAUGCGUUUCCAUUUAUAGAUCCGGAUUUGAUAGCGGUUACGUCAAAUGAUCUGUCACUUUCGAAAAACUUGUUAAAUUUCUUGCGUGUUCGUUAAAUGUCAUACGAUCGGUGACACUUGACAGUUCAACAAUUUUUUUCGUUCUGAGUUUGCGCGCAUAAGCAAUUUUUAUUAGGCGACAAUUUCAAAAAUUGACAGCUUUGACAAGUACGAUAGACGUCAAUUGACGUCCUGCAGUCCUUGCCAUACGUCAAAAAUUGUCUGACUUGCCAGAUCUGUCAGGCGCAAUGCCAAUUUCUAAACAAAACCAUUGAAUACGUCAUAUCAUCGGUGAGAUUUGACAUGUCAAGCACGCACAUGGGCCAUUCGCAUAAAAUAUAUAUUUUCUUCAAAUAUAUUGUCGGCAAAUAUCACAGCAAGGUUCAAAAUGUCAUUUGAUCUGUCACGUUUCACUUAUACAUCUGUCAAACACAAACGCGGCUAGCGGCACCGGGUAUCCUUUACUCCGUAGCUUGCGCAUGCGUAACCCUUCUCACUAAAUUGCGUUAUUCUAAUUUUUUUAAAUAAUCACUUCUGACUGAUAUUGAUUAACAAAUAAAACAACGUUGCCAAGGCUGAAAAUGUCAUUUGACGUACACAUCGGUCAAACAAAAGCGCGUCUUGGUCCAGCGUAUGUGCUCCGCGGCUUGCCAAUGCGCAGUCGAAAUAUUCUAUGGUAAUCUAAAGUUUUUUUACAUGUACAGUGACAGUUGACAGCUGUCAAACGAACACGGGUCUAUCCAGGCAUACUUUACUUCGUAGGUGCAUAUGCGCAAACUCGCCUACUAAUUCUUAAUAAUAUUUCAAUAAAUAUUUACUUCUGAUUGAUGUUGAUUACCAAAUACUGUAACCUUUCCAAGGUUCAAAUUGUCACAUGAUCUGUGACAUUUGACGUACACAUCUGUCAAACAAAAACGCGUCUAGGUGUAUCAAAUGCGUUUGUACUCCGCGGCUUGAGCAUGCGCAAUCAAAAAAUGGAGUGAUAAGCUAAAGUUUUUUUACAUGUACGGUGACAGUUGACAGCUGUCACACCAAAACGCGUCCAUCCGGGUAUACUUUAUUCCGCAGCUCGCGUAUGCGUAAACUCGCCUACUAAAAUGCAUUAUUCUCGCGUUAACGCGUUAUUCCAAUAAAUUUUGUUUAAAUAAUCACUUCUGACUGAUAAUCAUUAACAAAUACUACAACGUUGCCAAGGUUCAGAAUGUCAUUUCAUCUAUGACAUUUGACGUACACAUCUGUCAAGCAAAGACGCGUCUCGGUGCGCUUCUACUCCCUGGCUUGCGCAUGCGUAAUCGGAAAAUCGUUCGUAAAAUGCGCCGUAAGGAUUAAUCGAGGAGCAAUUAGUUGUAGUUAAAAUGGUUAUUUCGAUACACUCCAUGCCUUAUUUGGAUAAAAUAGGAAUAAAUUGUUUUUUAUUUUGGGUUGUUAGCAUUAUUUCUGUACGUAAAAUUGUUAAAACUCGUUAGCACUCGUUUUCACUAGAACAAUGUAGUUAGUCAUAAUAUAGUAAGUGAGCCUCCUCACUGUGUAAAUAAUUCUCUUAUAAGAUCGUGCCUCAAUACUAGUGUUAAUAGUUGUUACUUUGCCAGUUAUCAAUUGUUUUUAGUGCAACUUAGUCCUAACUAUAAUCUUGGCGAAGGUUCUGGCGGUUGCGCAGUGGGACUCGUGAAAGAGGUACAUUUUUAAUUUGACUUUUUCGUUAAUUAACUGAGAUGAGCGUUUGGUUAAUUAAUUAAUUUAAUUGACUUUGUUGUACAUAAUUAAUUAAUGAUUGAAACUGUUUGUUUUUUGUAGAAAGAUAUUUUUACAUCGCGACAAUACGAGCGAGUUGUGUGAAGAGUGACGUUUGCCAUAUUGUUAAUUAAUAAAUUCUUAAUAAAUUAAUGGUAAAUUUAA
RNAcentral lists this unclassified non-coding RNA (6529 nucleotides) under Anthonomus grandis grandis. RNAcentral's name for it is "na(+)/H(+) exchanger protein 2". The record is from RNAcentral. Lineage: Eukaryota; Metazoa; Arthropoda; Insecta; Coleoptera; Curculionidae.